This 606-nucleotide long non-coding RNA is filed under the name Zea mays. The record is from RNAcentral. Lineage: Eukaryota; Viridiplantae; Streptophyta; Magnoliopsida; Poales; Poaceae.
AAAGGGGCCAGAUAAGUGGCGAUCUUUGCAUUGAAGGUUGGCGACAACAAAAAUGCAGUUCUCCGUGCCGCUCAGAUUUUCAUCUGUUCUGUGAUGGCCUCGAACAAGCUGCUACAUCAUCUCUUACCUGUGAUAACCUACUCCCUAUGUGCUUGAAUAAAUCAAUCCAUAGAGCUGUCAUAAGUCAAUAUUUUUUUGUUUGAUUGAUCUCCCCUGUUUUGUGUUAAUGUUUGAGUUAAAUGGUAACUACAAAACUGACAUGAGCGAUUUAAGCAGAUGCAUCCUCCCUUGUUAAUGUGGUCCAAACCAACACUUGCAAGAACUCCCUUGUUUAAGCCAAUGGUAGUUGAAAUGGGCCAUUGAGGGAGGCCAGCAUUGGUACACCUGCAAGAAUGGGGAUCCAACAGACAUAGCUGCAAUGGCGGUCACUGUUUUCAAGUCAUCUGAUUAAUCACGAUUAGUCGCGAUUAAUCGUCCAAGUCGGUUUGAAUCAAUCAUGAUUAAUCGCCCAAAUUGUCCAACUAAAUGUGAUUAAUCACGAUUAAUCGUCCAAGUCGGUCAGUUAGAACGACCAGCAAGUUGUCCGACUUGAAAACAAUGAUGGAG